UUCAGGCCUAACACAUGCAAGUCGAGCGCGAAAGUGGGCUUCGGCUCACGAGUAGAGCGGCGAACGGGUGAGUAACGCGUGGGUGAUCUACCUCCGAGUGGGGAAUAACACCGGGAAACUGGUGCUAAUACCGCAUGACAUCCUUGAUUCGUUUCGAGGAUCAAAGCUGGGGACCGCAAGGCCUGGCGCUUGGAGAGGAGCCCGCGUCCGAUUAGCUUGUUGGCGGGGUAAUGGCCCACCAAGGCUUCGAUCGGUAGCCGGCCUGAGAGGGCGGACGGCCACACUGGGACUGAGACACGGCCCAGACUCCUACGGGAGGCAGCAGUGGGGAAUUUUUCGCAAUGGGGGAAACCCUGACGAAGCAACGCCGCGUGGAGGAUGAAGGCCCUCGGGUCGUAAACUCCUGUCGAUCGGGAAGAAUGCACUCGGGUUAAUACCCCGUUGUGUUGACUGUACCGGUGGAGGAAGCCACGGCUAACUCUGUGCCAGCAGCCGCGGUAAGACAGAGGUGGCAAGCGUUGUUCGGAAUUACUGGGCGUAAAGGGCGCGCAGGCGGUUCGUCAAGUCCCGUGUGAAAUCCCCCGGCUCAACUGGGGAACUGCGCGGGAAACUAGCGGGCUUGAGUUCGGGAGAGGGAAGCGGAAUUCCGGGUGUAGCGGUGAAAUGCGCAGAUAUCCGGAGGAACACCAGUGGCGAAGGCGGCUUCCUGGACCGAUACUGACGCUGAGGCGCGAAAGCCAGGGGAGCGAACGGGAUUAGAUACCCCGGUAGUCCUGGCCCUAAACGUUGAG
RNAcentral lists this ribosomal RNA (791 nucleotides) under uncultured bacterium. RNAcentral describes it as "bacterial SSU rRNA". It matches the Rfam family "Bacterial small subunit ribosomal RNA", at positions 41 to 813 of the family's 1533-position model. The record is from RNAcentral.